RNAcentral lists this ribosomal RNA (459 nucleotides) under uncultured bacterium. RNAcentral describes it as "partial 16S ribosomal RNA". It matches the Rfam family "Bacterial small subunit ribosomal RNA", at positions 338 to 795 of the family's 1533-position model. The record is from RNAcentral.
CCUACGGUGUGCAGCAGUGAGGAAUAUUGGUCAAUGGGCGGGAGCCUGAACCAGCCAAGUCGCGUGAGGGACGAUGGUCCUAUGGAUUGUAAACCUCUUUUGUCGGGGAACAAAGUCGCCCACGUGUGGCCGGAUGUGUGUACCCGAAGAAAAAGCAUCGGCUAACUCCGUGCCAGCAGCCGCGGUAAUACGGAGGAUGCGAUCGUUAUCAGGAUUUAUUGGGUUUAAAGGGUGCGUAGGCGGACGGUCAAGUCAGCGGUAAAAAUGCGGUGCUCAACGCCGUACAGCCGUUGAACCGGGCAGUCUUGAGUGGGAGAGAAGUAUGCGGAAUGCGUGGUGUAGCGGUGAAAUGCAUAGAUAUCAAGCAGAACUCCGAAUGGGAAGGCAGCAUACCGGCGCCCUACUGACGCUGAGGCACGAAAGCGUGGGUAUCGAACAGGAUUAGAUACCCGAGUAGUC